Molecule: small nuclear RNA, 19 nt
Filed under: Arabidopsis thaliana (thale cress)
Lineage: Eukaryota; Viridiplantae; Streptophyta; Magnoliopsida; Brassicales; Brassicaceae
Description: snRNA_06780
Source: RNAcentral
GCCCGGGAGGCUCCUGCGG